Molecule: ribosomal RNA, 178 nt
Filed under: uncultured Staphylococcus sp.
Lineage: Bacteria; Bacillati; Bacillota; Bacilli; Caryophanales; Staphylococcaceae
Description: partial 16S ribosomal RNA
Rfam family: Bacterial small subunit ribosomal RNA
Source: RNAcentral
GGCUAAUACCGGAUAACACAUGAAACCGCAUGGUUUCAUGAUGAAGACGGUUUUGCUGUCACUUAUAGAUGGACCCGCGGCGUAUUAGCUAGUUGGUAAGGUAACGGCUUACCAAGGCAACGAUACGUAGCCGACCUGAGAGGGUGAUCGGCCACACUGGAACUGAGACACGGUCCAG